RNAcentral lists this ribosomal RNA (100 nucleotides) under uncultured bacterium. RNAcentral's name for it is "partial 16S ribosomal RNA". It matches the Rfam family "Bacterial small subunit ribosomal RNA", at positions 1384 to 1482 of the family's 1533-position model. The record is from RNAcentral.
UACACACCGCCCGUCACACCAUGGGAGUUGGUCUUACCCGACGGCGCUGCGCCAACCGCAAGGGAGGUAGCCGCCUAUGGUAUGACUGGUGACUGGGGUA